Long non-coding RNA from Dendrobium catenatum, 1242 nucleotides. RefSeq lists it as uncharacterized. The record is from RefSeq and is a predicted model, not a curated record. Lineage: Eukaryota; Viridiplantae; Streptophyta; Magnoliopsida; Asparagales; Orchidaceae. The transcript has 2 exons.
GGAGUCCACAGCCUAAACCUAACCUUUCAUAGCCUACCAUCCACUGUCGCUAUCUAGAAAGACGAUUCUCUUGUGAAGCGAGUGAGAUCCCCUUUCCACCGAUUAAGUUUAGGGAAAAAUAAUGAUUUUGUAGAAAACAUCUUGGGAAAGUGAUUAUGAAGGAAAUUAAUAUUGAUUGGCUGUAUGAACUUAGGGUCUGUUUGGUUAUAUGUUAUGUAGAUAGCAGCACUAUCUAGGUGAAAAUAGCAUUCAGGCAAUGCUGUUAUCUAUUAAAUAUAGUGUGUUUGGUUAACUUACUUUAAUUUGCAAUGUUAUCUAGAAGCUUAACUAUAGCUAUGAUCUUUUUUUGUUGUUAUUUUAUAAUACAUUAAGUAGCAUAUAGAUUUAGACAGAUGUGGCAUGAACAAAAAAUAUAGCAUCACAUAGCAAUUGUCAACAAACCAAACAACCACUUAAUAAAAUAGAUACAUGAUAAUAGAGAGAAUGGUGCAUUUUCUAGUCUUUCCAUCAUUGAGUAUAAAUAUUCAUGUUUAGGUUAGAUAUUUGGAGGUUUUUACUUUUUGUUUUUAAGUAUGUAUAUAAGAACUUCGUAUAAGUUAAAUUUAUACAUGGAUUAUUUUGGAUUACAUGAUAAUUGCAUGUUGCAAUCGUCUUAAUCUCAACCAUUCCUUUCACUUUAAAGUUUUUUACAAAAUCGGUUUGGUUUGUUGGACUCAAUCAAGAUGCCAAAUUAGAAUGUAUGGUUUGACCGGGUUGCAUCUUGCGAUCGCCACCAUAUGGGGAGUGGAUGCAUAUUCUUCCAAGUGAGUAUAUCAUCUAUGAAUGAAUGCAUUUUCAUUGUAGCUUCUUUCAUUUUUUGAAAACAAAAUUGAAUGUAACAAUGAAAAGUGAGGUUUUAUAAGUAAACAUGAAAAUAGUUAUAGGUAAGUGUAUAGAUCUAUGACAUAUUUUGUUAGUUGGAAGUCCGAUAUGAAAAUAGUUAUAGAUAAGUAAGCAUGAGGCCAAUAAUAGAGAAUAAGGGCACAAAGUUAAUUAUAAAUAGAUUUGGCAUAUGGAAUGUAACAACUCAAAUUCUUAUCUAUUGAUAUAUUGAGAUUAUCUGCUUUGUUCUAAUGGCCUCAUGAUUUUGUCCCAUUGGUGUAAUGUUUUAAGAGAUUACUUAUCCCAGAAGUGCUUCUAUAUGAGCAUGCUUAAUUGUUGCUCGAAAAGGAAUUUUGAUAUUUAAAGGUGUAGUUCAUUUUA